UCCGCGCUGCAUUAGCUAGUUGGUAAGGUAACGGCUUACCAAGGCAACGAUGCAUAGCCGACCUGAGAGGGUGAUCGGCCACACUGGAACUGAGACACGGUCCAGACUCCUACGGGAGGCAGCAGUAGGGAAUCUUCCGCAAUGGGCGAAAGCCUGACGGAGCAACGCCGCGUGAGUGAUGAAGGUCUUCGGAUCGUAAAACUCUGUUAUUAGG
RNAcentral lists this ribosomal RNA (214 nucleotides) under Staphylococcus aureus. RNAcentral describes it as "partial 16S ribosomal RNA". It matches the Rfam family "Bacterial small subunit ribosomal RNA", at positions 230 to 443 of the family's 1533-position model. Lineage: Bacteria; Bacillati; Bacillota; Bacilli; Caryophanales; Staphylococcaceae. The record is from RNAcentral.